UGGGUAUUUGGUGGGGGGUUUUAAGCAGAGGCCGACAAGGCGACUGUGCACAUGUCAUGUGUCCAUACGCACCUAUGUGAGUAUUACCAAUAAUCUAACUAUCUGACCCCUGAUCAAUCAGGUUUUCGCCCAAAUCACUCCACUACAACUGCCCUCUUAAAAGUUUGCAAUGACAUCCAAACUGGCAUGGAAAAAGGAGACCUAACUGGAGCUAUUUUCCUUGAUUUUGCAAAGGCCUUUGACACAGUAGGCCACAACAUUCUACUACACACACUCAAAAACUCAGGUAUUGGUGAUUGUCCGCUAACCUGGUUUCGAUCGUAUGUAUUGGAUCGCUCGCAACAUUUGUCCAUUUCUAAAAGCGACUUCCUCCCUCUCCUAGUGUGGUGUUCCUCAAGGUUCCAUUCUCUGCCCACUACUAUUUAUAUUAUUUAUAAAUGUCUGCAAAUCCUCAAAUGUACACAUGUACGCAGACGACACAGUGAUCUAUGUGAGCAAAUCCGAUCUACCACAGCUUGAGGCUGUGCUCCAAGUACACACACACAGACUGCUGAAUACAUACACAGACUGCUGAAUACAUACACACACAGUCCGCUGAAUACACACACACAGUCCGCUGAAUACACACACUGCGUGGGGUGCUGUGUGUGUGCUGUGUGUGAGGGGUGCUGUGUGUGUGAGGGGUGAUGUUUGUGUGUGAGGGUUGCUGUGUGUGUCUGAGGGUUGCUGUGUGUGUCUGAGGGUUGCUGUGUGUGUGUGUGUGAUGGUUGUUGUGUGUGUGUGGGAGGGGUGCUGUGUGUGUGUGUAUGACAGGUGUUGUGUGUGUAUGAGGGGUGCUGUGUGUGUGUGAGGGGUGCUGUGUGUGUGUAUGAAAGGUGCUGUGUGUGUGAGGGCUGCUGUGUGUGUGUAUGAGGGGCGGUGUGUGUGUAUGAG
Molecule: non-coding RNA, 933 nt
Organism: Pelobates cultripes (western spadefoot toad)
Lineage: Eukaryota; Metazoa; Chordata; Amphibia; Anura; Pelobatidae
Source: the annotation of a GenBank genome assembly